GGCUUAACACAUGCAAGGUCGAGGGGGCAGCAGGGCAAUAGCUUGCUAUUGCUGCUGGCGACCGGCGCACGGGUGAGUAACGCGUAUCCAACUACCCCGCGGUCAGGGACAGCCGGCGAAAGUCGGAUUAAUACCUGAUGCAGUCAGAAGAGGGCAUCUGAUUUUUGACGAAAGAUUUAUCGCCUCGGGAUGGGGGAUGCGUAGGAUUAGGCAGGCGGCGGGGUAACGGCCCACCGCGCCGACGAUCCUUAGGGGUUCUGAGAGGAAGGUCCCCCACACUGGUACUGAGACACGGACCAGACUCCUACGGGAGGCAGCAGUGAGGAAUAUUGGUCAAUGGGCGCGAGCCUGAACCAGCCAAGUAGCGUGCAGGACGACGGCCCUAUGGGUUGUAAACUGCUUUUAUGCGGGGAUAAAGUGCGGCACGUGUGCCGUUUUUGUAGGUACCGCAUGAAUAAGGACCGGCUAAUUCCGUGCCAGCCGCGGC
RNAcentral lists this ribosomal RNA (487 nucleotides) under uncultured bacterium. RNAcentral's name for it is "bacterial SSU rRNA". It matches the Rfam family "Bacterial small subunit ribosomal RNA", at positions 45 to 518 of the family's 1533-position model. The record is from RNAcentral.